GUACCGAUGAGCCAAGCUUGCUUGGAACAUCGGGAGAGUGGCAAACGGGUGAGUAACACGUAAGUAACCUGCCCCUAAGUAGGGGAUAACUCUGAGAAAUUGGAGCUAAUACCGUAUGUGGUGGUGGAGGUAAGGCUUCAUCACUAAAGCCUUCGGGCGCUUGGGGAGGGGCUUGUGUCCGAUUAGCUAGUUGGUAGGGUAACGGUUUACCAAGGCGAUGAUCGGUAGCUGGUCUGAGAGGACGAUCAGCCACACUGGGACUGAGAUACGGCCCAGACUCCUAUGGGAGGCAGCAGCAAGGAAUUCUGUGCAAUGGGCGAAAGCCUGACACAGCGACACCGCGUGAGGGAUGAAGGCCUUCGGGUUGUAAACCUCUUUUCUCAGGGAAGAAUAAUGACGGCACCUGAGGAAUAAGUCUCGGCUAACUACGUGCCAGCAGCCGCGGUAAUACGUAGGAGGCGAGCGUUAUCCGGAUUUACUGGGCGUAAAGAGGGCGUAGGCGGCUUUUCAAGUCGGGUGUGAAAUCUCCCCGCUUAACGGGGAGGAGUCAUUCGAUACUGUUAAGCUAGAGGACAGCAGAGGGAGGUGGAAUUCCCGGUGGAGUGGUGAAAUGCGUAGAUAUCGGGAGGAACACCAGUGGCGAAGGCGGCCUCCUGGGCUGUUUCUGACGUUGAGGCCCGAAAGCGUGGGGAGCGAACAGGAUUAGAUACCCUGGUAGUCCACGCUGUUAACGAUGGAU
This 739-nucleotide ribosomal RNA is filed under the name uncultured bacterium. RNAcentral's name for it is "bacterial SSU rRNA". It matches the Rfam family "Bacterial small subunit ribosomal RNA", at positions 64 to 814 of the family's 1533-position model. The record is from RNAcentral.